CAGAAAUGUAGCAGAACGUGUUAUAUUUAUCUUCAGAUGGAGCGGAGUAAAGUACAGGACUGGAGUACAUUAACUGUUUCUGACCUCAUGACCUGAGCCGUUUCCAACAGGACGUGAUCUCUGUGACUGUGAACCUUUCAGAAUAAAAGCACACUUCACUUUGGCUGCAGUUUCUUCACUUUUAUUUGGUAAAAAACAGUAUUUACAGCGACUUUUACAUCUGCAAAAAACAAAAUCUUAUUCAAUAAUAAUUUAAUUAAAGCUGCCUUCAAGUCGAGACGCUGCAGUGAAACAGGAAAUACAUUUAAAUGUGAACUUCUCACAUGAAUAUGACGAGUUUUCUGUCUUUUUAUGUUUUGGCCAAAAUCUAACAAAUGUUCAGAGUCAGGUUUAAAUGUGUGGUUUUAUUUUGUGAACUCCCGUGUCCAACAGUGACCCCGCCUUUAUACUUGGUACUGCAGGAAAAUGAAUGGGAGUCUGUGGCCAACUGUAAUGUAGAGCUGGAUGACGAGCGCGAAGCAGAAAUCACAAAAUUAUUUUAAACGAAAUCAAAUUUGGCAGAAAAUUAGUUCAUGGCCUCCCAGUCAAAAAGUCUCUUUAUAUUUGCCCAGUUUCACGGCAGAGUCUGGCCUUUAACAGUAAACCAUUCACUCAGUCAGUAAAGUAAAGUGCAGUCAGCUCCAGAUGGGGCACCUUCUUUAGGCUCAGUCCGGUGCCGCGGGGGUCGGUAUGGGUCCUCUGGUUCCGUAUGGGUCUAUCCCGUCCGUGGGGUCUUCUGGGUCCGUAUGGUCUAUCCCGUCCCGUGGGGGUCUGUCUGGGGUCCGUAGGGGUCUAUCCUGUCCCGUGGGGGUCUGUCUGGGUCCGUAUGGGUCUAUCCUGUCCCGUGGGGGCCUGUAUGGGUCCGUAUGGUCUAUCCCGUCCCGUGGCUGCUGGACUCGAACACUCCCUUCUUGAAGAACGGCGAGAGUUCGUAGACGUGACGUUUGUUCAGAGGCUCAGAGUCCGGUUUGAGCGGAGACGGAGACAUCAACUGGACCAGGGAGAACAGGGCCUUCAGAUACCGCUGCAAACACACGAAGGUUAA
This 1084-nucleotide long non-coding RNA is filed under the name Neogobius melanostomus (round goby). RNAcentral describes it as "lncRNA (ENSNMLG00000010100.1)". Lineage: Eukaryota; Metazoa; Chordata; Actinopteri; Gobiiformes; Gobiidae. The record is from RNAcentral.